Molecule: long non-coding RNA, 564 nt
Filed under: Anas platyrhynchos platyrhynchos (common mallard)
Lineage: Eukaryota; Metazoa; Chordata; Aves; Anseriformes; Anatidae
Description: lncRNA (ENSAPLG00000020053.1)
Source: RNAcentral
AAAUUAAGUUAGAAUGUACUAUAGAUGUGAUGAGCUACUGGAAAUCUACUAUAAGCAUAUUUAUUUUCUUUAUCCAAGGUGAAUAUCUUGGUUAUUUCAAGAUAAGUUCUGUAUUUGAUGUACUGUGGUAUUUCCAAGGAAGAAAUGCUUUGUCAACGAUCUUCAAAAAAGAGGAAGAGGUAUGCAGCCAACAAGAAGGUGAAAGCAGCCAUGAAAACAAUCGUGUUUCAUUGACAAAUGGAUAGCAUAGUACUACUGGUUCAUUUCUAAUAAGGUAAGGUAAUCAUUUUUUAAAUGGUUUAAACUUACUACCCUGCUGCAACCUAUCACUGUUUCAUGCCAGCCACUUCUAAGAAAUAGACCUGAACAUCAUUCACCACACUCUAUCCAAACAAUGAGCCUGAAUCCAAUUUAUUAGAACAGAAUGAAUAUAGCCUUUAACUUCUCUACAGAGAUACUAUUGUUAAUUAAAUCAAAGGCCCUUCCAUACACAGUGCUAACAGUUCUAGCCCUGCAUCCAUUCUCCAAACAGUGUAUGACAUUGAUGGAUAAACUCAAUUAAAG